GCUCAGUUGGUAAAGCACAAGGCUUUUAACCUCGUGGACGUGGAUUCAAGUCCCAU
Molecule: transfer RNA, 56 nt
Filed under: Triticum aestivum (bread wheat)
Lineage: Eukaryota; Viridiplantae; Streptophyta; Magnoliopsida; Poales; Poaceae
Also listed under: 1 other name
Rfam family: tRNA
About the family: Transfer RNA (tRNA) molecules are approximately 80 nucleotides in length. Their secondary structure includes four short double-helical elements and three loops (D, anti-codon, and T loops). Further hydrogen bonds mediate the characteristic L-shaped molecular structure. tRNAs have two regions of fundamental functional importance: the anti-codon, which is responsible for specific mRNA codon recognition, and the 3' end, to which the tRNAs corresponding amino acid is attached (by aminoacyl-tRNA synthetases). tRNAs cope with the degeneracy of the genetic code in two manners: having more than one tRNA (with a specific anti-codon) for a particular amino acid; and 'wobble' base-pairing, i.e. permitting non-standard base-pairing at the 3rd anti-codon position.
Source: Rfam by way of RNAcentral